UCAUCAUCGGCAUUGUUAUAUAUAAUUGGCAUUUGAUAAAUUCUUCUUUCAUAGAAAAAGGUACAGUCUGAUGCUGCAUUACUUAAACACAAUCUAGAAGGUUGCAACUUUGCAGUGUGAGGAACAAGUGGUUGCAUGGUUCGUGUAUAUGAUUAAAGUAUUAAAAAAAACAUCCCUUAAAAAUUAUUAGAAAAAACAAAAUCCACAGAUCAAACAAUGAGAAUAAUCUAAACGCUGUCAAUUCUUGGUUAAGCACUUUGUUGAUAUUAUAGUUAGGAUAUAGCUUACCUGAGCUGUGCCUUCAUUCAGAAAGUAGAUUCUUUUUGGCCUUGUCGCUUUGUUUUACUAGAAAAAAAAGAUAACGCAAGGUUGUUUCAUCUCAGAAUUUUGCACACCACAAAGUCUAUCCAACCUUGCACCAUUAUUUUCACUGCAAUUAGUUGUACCUUUUGAAUUGUAAAUUCUAAAUCCUAAUUGGCAGAAUGUUAGAAAAGUGGCUGGCUACUGUGCAAAGUGAUUGUGGUUGUUCUGAUAAUACU
This 539-nucleotide long non-coding RNA is filed under the name Phoenix dactylifera (date palm). Its description in RNAcentral is "long non-coding RNA (PDAC_LNC022213)". The record is from RNAcentral. Lineage: Eukaryota; Viridiplantae; Streptophyta; Magnoliopsida; Arecales; Arecaceae.